GCCCACCAGUAUAAUGCGGGAAUAUAUUUAAGUUCUAGGUCGCCCACCAGUAUAAUGCGGGAAGUACUAUUUAAGUUCUAGGUCGCCCACCAGUAUAAUGCAGGAAUACAUUUAAGUUCUAGGUCGCCCACCAGUAUAAUGCGGGAAUACAUUUAAGUUUUAGGUCGCCCACCAGUAUAAUGCGGGAAUACAUUUAUGUUCUAGGUCGCCCACCAGUAUAAUGCGGGAAUACAUUUAAGUUCUAAGUCGCCCACCAGUAUAAUGCGGGAAUACAUUUAGCUCUAGAUUGUGGAAUCAGUAGCCCCGCCUGAAGACGGAAGGUUACAACAGAGAUCCCCAAACAGGAAACAAUAAAAUCCC
RNAcentral lists this long non-coding RNA (360 nucleotides) under Nicotiana tabacum (common tobacco). RNAcentral describes it as "long non-coding RNA (NTAB_LNC010824)". The record is from RNAcentral. Lineage: Eukaryota; Viridiplantae; Streptophyta; Magnoliopsida; Solanales; Solanaceae.